UAAAAGCAACUCAAUGGCCGCGGUAACUCUGACCGUGAUAAAGUAGCAUAAUCACUCGUCACUUGAUUGGUGACUGGAAUGAAUGGCUAAACGAAUCCCCUUCUGUCUCUAAGAAAAUUCCGGCAAACUUAAAAUAGCAGUGAAGAUGCUGUUAAACAACUGUAAGACGAAAAGACCCUAUCGAGCUUUACUGGAAGCUUGCAAAUCUGAAAGAACACCAACCUGCAUAUUCUUAAACACUGCAAGCUUGACAGUUUGGUUGGGGCGACCACCCCUAAGAAAGUAUCAGGGGAACUCUAAAGGUAAUUACCAAAUGAAAAAAUGCCUAACUGAAAACAAACAGGUUAACCAGUUACUAUAAGUAGGACAUAUUGACCCGUUGCAUCUAUCACGAAAUGCAACGACUAUGAAAAAAGUUACCGUAGGGAUAACAGGGUAAUAUUUUCGGAGAGUUCAUAUCGAUGAAAAUGUUUGCCACCUCGAUGUUGAAUUGUGAUAUCCUAGGGGUGCAGCAGCUCCUAAGGGUCGGUCUGUUC
This 536-nucleotide ribosomal RNA is filed under the name Aurelia mianzani. RNAcentral describes it as "partial large subunit ribosomal RNA". It matches the Rfam family "Bacterial large subunit ribosomal RNA", at positions 1914 to 2582 of the family's 2925-position model. The record is from RNAcentral. Lineage: Eukaryota; Metazoa; Cnidaria; Scyphozoa; Semaeostomeae; Ulmaridae.